RNAcentral lists this ribosomal RNA (478 nucleotides) under uncultured organism. RNAcentral's name for it is "bacterial SSU rRNA". It matches the Rfam family "Bacterial small subunit ribosomal RNA", at positions 28 to 507 of the family's 1533-position model. The record is from RNAcentral.
GAUGAACGCUAGCGGGAGGCCUAACACAUGCAAGUCGAACGGGAUUCACCUUCGGGUGAUGAGAGUGGCGCACGGGUGAGUAACGCGUAUGCAACCUUCCCCAAUCAGGGGGAUAGCCCGGAGAAAUCCGGAUUAAUACCCCAUAUUAUUAUAGUUUCGCAUGGGACUUUAAUGAAAGCUUUGGCGGUUUGGGAUGGGCAUGCGUGGCAUUAGCUGGUUGGUGAGGUAACGGCUCACCAAGGCGACGAUGCCUAGGGGUUCUGAGAGGAUGAUCCCCCACACUGGUACUGAGACACGGACCAGACUCCUACGGGAGGCAGCAGUGAGGAAUAUUGGUCAAUGGGCGCAAGCCUGAACCAGCCAUCCCGCGUGAAGGAAGACUGCCCUAUGGGUUGUAAACUUCUUUUGUACAUGAAGAACGGGCCUUACGUGUAAGGUUAUGACGGUAAUGUACGAAUAAGCAUCGGCUAACUCCGUG